CAUAACUUCCAUUCAAUUUAACCAAAGAAUUUAUUAAUUUUUCAAAUUUCAUCUAUACAAAAAAAUUGGACAAAAACUGUCUCCCUCCUUUUUCUUUUUUUUUUUUUCACAUUGACAGCUCAGUUAAACUCUCCAUCUUCUCCUCUCAAUUCUCUAAGCAGUACUUCUCAAUUCUCAAUUCUCAAUUUUAUAAAAAAAAACGUGAUGUCCAAAAAUCAGAGGUUCUGUUUAGCUUCGAAAUUUUGUCAAGCAAAAUCAAAGAUAUUCGAGAAAUGACUAUUCCGGAGCAUCAAAAACGGAUGAUAAAUAGACUUCUUCCUGGUAAAGUGGCAUAUACAGAUGAAUUUAUAAAAGGCAUGGAAGAGUUCAUUAAAUUUGCUUGUAGUCAACCGAAGUACUUGUCCGAGAAAGUCAUAAGGUGUCCUUGUAAAAUUUGUAAGAACAUGAAGCACUUUACGCCCGAUGAAGUUAAUGUUCAUAUUUUCAAGAAAGGGUUCGCUCCGGGUUAUUGGUAUUGGACGUCACAUGGAGAGGAAGCUCCUUCAAUUAAUUUGAAUGAACAUGUCCAUUCAAGUGCUUCAACUAGUCAUCGAGGAUGUAGCUUUGACAUGUCUUCAAGCAGUCAAACUAACAUUCUAGCGGAAGUCACUGAACACGUAACAAUAACUAAAUAAUACGAAAACCGAAGCACAAGACACUACAGAUUGUAACAGAGAUCGAAGAACAAAAAACUGUGAGAAUAACACUAAUACUACUGGAUUAGCUAUAUGGAUCUUCAUUAAGGUGCUUCUAGCAUUACGUCUGCCUUCUGAAAAAUUUCAGGUGCUUCUAGUAUUACGUCUGCCGUCAAUAACAGUUGGGGGUUUAAAAUUAAGAGUUAUACCAGUAGAUAUUGUACGGUUAAAUCUACCGUCAAUUACCCAACUUCUCCCUCCCCAAAUCUUUAUGUUUCCCUUGCUACGCUGUUCUGUUUUGGUGGGAACGAAAGCAACUUUUUUUAAAAAAAUUUUGCUUUCCUUCACUUAAUAUCAUACUUCGUCUUGGUGAAUAUUCACUUUAGAUUCCCCAGCCGGACCAUAAUUUGAUUUCUGAUUGAGCUACGAGCACAAGUAGAUAGUCAGUCAGGGCGGAGAGUGUUGGAUAGCUUUCCUUUUCAGUUGAUCUCCGGCUGAUCAAUGACAUUAAUGGUGCUAGUUGCAACCCCCUUAAUACGUGCCAUAGAAGUAGCUCUAGUAUUACGUCUGGCGUCUGAUCAAUUUCAGGUGCUUCUAGUAUUACGUCUGUCGUCUGAUGAAUUUCAGGUUCUUCUAGUAUUAUGUAUAGUCAUACCAGUAGACGUUGUACGGUUAAAUCUACCAUCAAUUACCGAACUUCUCCCUCCCCAAAUCUUUAUGUUUCCCUUUCUACGCUGUUCUGUUUUGGUGGGAACGCAAGAAACUUUUUUUUAAAAUUCUGCUUUCCUUCACAUAAUAUCAUACUUCGUCUUGGUGAAUAUUCACUUUAGAUUCCCCAGUCGGACCAUAAUUUGAUUUCUGAUUGAGCUACGAGCCCAAGUAGAUAGGCAGUCAGGGCGGAGGGUGUUGGCUAGCUUUCCUUUUCAGUUGAUCUCCGGCUGAUCAAUGACACUAAUGGUGCUAGUUGCAAGCCUAGUUAAAAAUUCCAACCAUAGUUUAAUUAUAGAUUAAGUGGUGAUGCAGUGCCUUUCACUGCCAUCAGUUUACUAACUACAAAUGCAGUUUUGUUCGGCAAUUGACCCAUUUGUUGCUGGUAUUUGUGCCUCAUCUUAGUGGAUGACCGCAAUCUGCGGGUAGCUGAUUUUUCUCAGUUUUGGGCAACUGCGAAGAAUGAGUUUGAAAGAAAGAAACAAGAAAAAUUAGCCGUUCAAAGUGCAUCAGCUAUGGAUGGAGAAACUAAUUCAGCUAGUCAGCUGACUCAGUUAAGUGAAAUGGAUAUCUAGGUGCAAUCUGUUGGUGGAAAGAAGAAAGGAAGAGUCAAAGGUCUUGGCUCCCUAGGUUGAAGUGUAAAGGCAACUAACAGUUUCAACAUCAACUUAAAAGAAAUUGAUGAGAUGAUUAAGUCUCAGGUUGAUGCUUCAAAUACUGAUUUGUAUUCUCAAUUACAGACUGAGCGAAAGAAAAAUAAGAGGAUGAGAAAGGAAUUACACUUGUUGAUGAAGCAUGUCUACAACAAAUCAUCUUCAAACAAUGAACGUCCAUCUCAAGAAGACUACCAAGCUUAUGAGGAUGAAAGUUAUGAUGACUCUGACGACGUGAAUGGAAGUGAUAAUCCCGAUAACGUGAAUGAAAGUGAUUUUGAUCCUGAUGGUUGGUAGUUUUAUUGAGGAUUCAAGUUUUAAAUAUUUUGUUUUGGACCAUUUAAGAAUCAUACAUUAUUGAUGUGGAUGUUUCAAAUUAUGUUUUUUAUUAUAUAAUGGUUUACAUUAAACUUGUUUUGAAUGAUGUUUUGGAGAAUUA
Molecule: long non-coding RNA, 2474 nt
Organism: Capsicum annuum
Lineage: Eukaryota; Viridiplantae; Streptophyta; Magnoliopsida; Solanales; Solanaceae
Exons: 3
Source: RefSeq, a predicted model, not a curated record